Molecule: ribosomal RNA, 426 nt
Filed under: uncultured bacterium
Lineage: Bacteria
Description: bacterial SSU rRNA
Rfam family: Bacterial small subunit ribosomal RNA
Source: RNAcentral
UGGGGAAUUUUGGACAAUGGGCGCAAGCCUGAUCCAGCCAUGCCGCGUGCGGGAAGAAGGCCUUCGGGUUGUAAACCGCUUUUGUCGGGGAAGAAAUCUCUCGGGCUAAUACCUCGGGGGGAUGACGGUACCCGAAGAAUAAGCACCGGCUAACUACGUGCCAGCAGCCGCGGUAAUACGUAGGGUGCGAGCGUUAAUCGGAAUUACUGGGCGUAAAGCGUGCGCAGGCGGUCGUGCAAGACAGAUGUGAAAUCCCCGGGCUCAACCUGGGAACUGCAUUUGGGACUGCACGGCUGGAGUACGGCAGAGGGGGAUGGAAUUCCGCGUGUAGCAGUGAAAUGCGUAGAUAUGCGGAGGAACACCGAUGGCGAAGGCAGUCCCCUGGGCCUGUACUGACGCUCAUGCACGAAAGCGUGGGGAGCAAAC